CUCACGGAUCCCACCUUACAGUUAAAAGAGCCAAUCACCUUUUAGAUACAGACAUCACCUGUCAAUCAACUCUAGAAUGCGCAUGCACAUUAGCUAUACAAGCUGGGAAAAAUUGCGUUUUUUGCAUAAUAUGAGAUAGGAGCUGCACUGGCAUGACUGGAAAUAGUCUCCCAGGAGCGUUCCAAAGAUGGCCGACAGUGGACUGACUUGCUAUACAGACUUUGAUGAUGGUGGUGGAAGAAGUUCACCUGUUUUUUUCAAGUGGAGAAGUUUAACAAAAAUUUCAGUUUUUACAGAAUGCAUUUUUUAAUGAUACUGUUAUUGCACAU
This is a long non-coding RNA of Myxocyprinus asiaticus (Chinese sucker), 329 nucleotides long. RefSeq lists it as uncharacterized. The transcript is spliced from 3 exons. Lineage: Eukaryota; Metazoa; Chordata; Actinopteri; Cypriniformes; Catostomidae. The record is from RefSeq and is a predicted model, not a curated record.